AACCAUGCACCGAAGCUGCGGCAAUGACAUUUAGGUGUUAUUGGGUAGGGGAGCGUUCUGUAAGCGGUUGAAGGUGUGCUGUGAGGCAUGCUGGACGUAUCAGAAGUGCGAAUGCUGACAUAAGUAACGAUAAAGCGGGUGAAAAGCCCGCUCGCCGGAAGACCAAGGGUUCCUGUUCAACGUUAAUCGGAGCAGGGUGAGUCGACCCCUAAGGCGAGGCUGAAAAGCGUAGUCGAUGGGAAACGGGUUAAUAUUCCCGUACUUGUGGUAACUGCGAAGGGGGGACGGAGAAAGUUAGGCUAUCCGGGCGACGGUUGUCCCGGUUUAAGCGUGAAGGUGGAGAGACUAGGCAAAUCCGGUCUUUCAUUAACACUGAGGCGUGAUGACGAAGCACUACGGUGCUGAAGUAGCUGAUACUACGCUUCCAGGAAAAGCCUCUAAGCAUCAGGUUACCAGAAAUCGUACCCCAAACCGACACAGGUGGUCAGGUAGAGAAUACUCAGGCGCUUGAGAGAACUCGGGUGAAGGAACUAGGCAAAAUGGUGCCGUAACUUCGGGAGAAGGCACGCUGACGGUAGGUGAAGUCCCUUGCGGAUGGAGCCGAAGUCAGUCGAAGAUACCAGCUGGCUGCAACUGUUUAUUAAAAACACAGCACUGUGCAAACACGAAAGUGGACGUAUACGGUGUGACGCCUGCCCGGUGCCGGAAGGUUAAUUGAUGGGGUUAGCGAAAGCGAAGCUCUUGAUCGAAGCCCCGGUAAACGGCGGCCGUAACUAUAACGGUCCUAAGGUAGCGAAAUUCCUUGUCGGGUAAGUUCCGACCUGCACGAAUGGCGUAAUGAUGGCCAGGCUGUCUCCACCCGAGACUCAGUGAAAUUGAAAUCGCUGUGAAGAUGCAGUGUACCCGCGGCAAGACGGAAAGACCCCGUGAACCUUUACUAUAGCUUGACACUGAACAUUGAGCCUUGAUGUGUAGGAUAGGUGGGAGGCAUUGAAACGUGAACGCCAGUUUGCGUGGAGCCGACCUUGAAAUACCACCCUUUAAUGUUUGAUGUUCUAACGUUGUCCCGUGAUCCGGGAUACGGACAGUGUCUGGUGGGUAGUUUGACUGGGGCGGUCUCCUCCUAAAGAGUAACGGAGGAGCACGAAGGUUAGCUAAGCAUGGUCGGACAUCAUGCGGUUAGUGCAAAGGCAGAAGCUAGCUUAACUGCGAGACGGACAGGUCGAGCAGAUACGAAAGUAGGUC
RNAcentral lists this ribosomal RNA (1245 nucleotides) under Aeromonas dhakensis. Its description in RNAcentral is "partial 23S ribosomal RNA". It matches the Rfam family "Bacterial large subunit ribosomal RNA", at positions 1185 to 2411 of the family's 2925-position model. The record is from RNAcentral. Lineage: Bacteria; Pseudomonadati; Pseudomonadota; Gammaproteobacteria; Aeromonadales; Aeromonadaceae.